Molecule: ribosomal RNA, 1775 nt
Filed under: Cafeteria graefeae
Lineage: Eukaryota; Bigyra; Bicosoecida; Cafeteriaceae
Description: partial large subunit ribosomal RNA
Rfam family: Eukaryotic large subunit ribosomal RNA
Source: RNAcentral
CGGCGAGUGAAGCGGGAAGAGCUCAGGUUGAAAAUCCCUCGGGAGUUGUAACCUGUAGGCCCAGUGCUCCAUCCGACGCGGGUGCAAGUCCUCACGAACGAGGCGCCAGGGAGGGUGAUAGCCCCGUCCCGCCCGCGAAAGUGUCAGAGCCCGGUGCCGACGAGUCGGGAUGCUUGGGAAUGCAUCCCUAAGUGGGUGGUAAGUCCCAUCUAAAGCUAAAUACGGGCAAGAGACCGAUAGCGAACAAGUACUGUGAAGGAAAGAUGAAAAGCGCUUUGAAAAGAAGGUUAAAAGAGCUUGAAAUUGCUGAAACGGAAGUGAUUGGCCCCAGUACGGCGCCCAGGUCCUCUAUGGUCCAGGCGCCGGUCAGCAUCGGCUGCUGCUGCGUGAAAGCGCCUCGAGGAAGGUGACGUGGCCCCGCUCCGGCGGGUUCCCGCGUGUUACAGCCUCGGGGAUCGCGGCGCGGCGGCGGCCGAGGGAAGCGCGCAGCUCCACGGAUCAUCCGCGCUGCGCGAAGAUGCUGACGAAAUGGGUUCCAUCAGCCCGUCUUGAAACACGGACCAAGGAGUCUGACAUGUGUGCGAGUACUCCGGUGGAAAACCGCUGUGCGCAAUGAAAGUAUUCAGAUGGGACCUUCGGGGCACCAUCGGCCGGUCUGCAACGCCACGGCUUGCGGGCUGCGCCAGAGCAGAUAUGUUGGGACCCGAAAGAUGGUGAACUAUGCCUGGGUAGGGCGAAGCCAGGGGAAACCCUGGUGGAGGCUCGAAGCGAUUCUGACGUGCAAAUCGAUCGUCAAACCUGGGUAUAGGGGCGAAAGACUAAUCGAACCAUCUAGUAGCUGGUUCCCUCCGAAAUUUCCCUUAGGAUAGCUGCAACUGAAUCCAGUUUUAUCAGGUAAAGCGAAUGAUUAGAGGAUUCAGGGCCGGAAUGGCCUUGACCUAUUCUCAAACUUUAAAUGGGUAAGAAGGGCCGCCUUUCUUGACUGAAGGCGGCCCGCGAAUGGAAGUUGUUAGUGGGCCAUAGCAGGUAAGCUGCUCUGGCGAUGCGGGAUGAACCGAACGUGGUGUUAAAGCGCCGGACUGUCCGCUCAUCAGAUCCCACAAAAGGUGUUGGUUCAUAUAGACAGCAGGACGGUGGCCAUGGAAGUUGGAAUCCGCUAAGGAGUGUGUAACAACUCACCUGCCGAAUGAAUUAGCCCUGAAAAUGGAUGGCGCUGUAGCGGACGGCUUAUACACCACCACCGGGCCAAGAUGGAGGGCCCGGUGAGUAGGAGGGCGUGGCGCUCGCGGAGAAGGCCUGGGCGUGAGCCCGGCUCGAGCGGGCGCUGGUGCAGAUCUUGGUGGUAGUAGCAAAUAUUCAAAUGAGAACUUUGAAGGCCGAAGUGGAGAAAGGUUUGGUGGGAACAGCAGUUGGCCGCCAGUGAGCCGCUCCUAAGAGAUAGGGUAAUGCCGUUCGGAAGUGGGCGUCUCGCACGCCCCGCCUAUCGAAAGGGAACCAGGUUUAUAUUCCUGGGCCUGGGCGGAGAAAGGUGGCAACACGCACGAGCUGGGAGACGUCGGAGGGAGCCCCGGGGAGAGUUCUCUUUUCUUGUUAACAGCCUCUUCCCCUGGAAUCGGUUCGCCCGGAGAUAGGGGUGCAUGGCUGGAAUAGCUGUCGCGCUUAGCGACGGUCCGGAGCGCUCUCGACGGCCCUUGAAAACCCCAGCGAGGUACCUUGUGUCAAUCUCACCCCAGGGCGUACUCAUAACCGCAUCAGGUCUCCAAGGUUAGCAGCCU